Molecule: ribosomal RNA, 352 nt
Filed under: uncultured bacterium
Lineage: Bacteria
Description: bacterial SSU rRNA
Rfam family: Bacterial small subunit ribosomal RNA
Source: RNAcentral
AGAGUUUGAUUAUGGCUCAGGAUGAACGCUAGCUACAGGCUUAACACAUGCAAGUCGAGGGGAAACGACAUCGAAAGCUUGCUUUUGAUGGGCGUCGACCGGCGCACGGGUGAGUAACGCGUAUCCAACCUGCCCACCACUUGGGGAUAACCUUGGCGAAAGUAAGACUAAUACCCAAUGACGUCUCUAGAAGACAUCUGAAAGAGAUUAAAGAUUUAUCGGUGAUGGAUGGGGAUGCGUCUGAUUAGCUUGUUGGCGGGGUAACGGCCACCAAGGCGACGAUCAGUAGGGGUUCUGGAGAGGAAGGUCCCCCACAUUGGACUGAGACACGGUCCAACUCCGUACGGAGGCA